UGUCGGCCUCGAGCCCCGCCCCUUCCUGGAGCCCCGCCCAGCCUUCAACCGCUGGAGCUGGAGGCGGAGAUCCUUCUGGUUUGUGUCCUACUUGGGCGGAGAAACCACAGCCAAGUGUGAGUCACAUGGAGAGUUCGUUCUUGACCGAGACGGCGUUCGCGGGCCGUGCGGUUCCCCCACCUGCGGUGCGCGGGUCAGUGCAACGGUUCGCACUCUGGACUCGCAUGUGUGCGGCUCAGUGGUCUCAGUCCCUGGGCACAGUUGCACGCCCAUCGCCACUGCGUGACUCCAGAGCAUGUGCGUCACCCGGAGUAGAAACCGUCUGCAUCAGCCUUCGGUCUCCCAGCCACCGGCAGCCACUAGUUACUUUUCGUCUGCACGGGCUUACCUGUUCUGCACAUUUCAGAUAAAGAGACGACUACUUAGCAAGAAAAAGGAGUCCACUCCGGACGCACACAGCUUGUAUGAAGCCCUGGAGAAUUAUGCGGAAAGGCCGGUGCAACAAGGUUACGCGCUUUACAUACUCUCCUGAUUCCAUUUACAUAAAAGUCUUGAAACGUGAAAAUUACAGAAAUGGAGACCAUAUUUGUGAUUGGUAGGGGAGGAGAGAAUGGGGAGUGGAAGCGCCCUACAAGGGCUACGUGAGGGACCUCGUGCUGAGGACAUCUGGCUUCCAGCUGCACCCCAGCCUUCUUGUGCUCAGAAACACCAGACAGCACUGCACGCGGGGGCCACUGGAAACAGCAAAACCACCAACUAAAGGGCAAAAAUUGCAAAAAUCGUGGUAAUAAAUGGAUCCCGAAAGGGGCCAUUUACAACCUGGGCUGGAAUAAGUUGGCAAAAUGGUGCUUUGUUCAAGCCCAGCUGGACACAUGUAUGGCCAGCACUCGAAGUUUUCACCACUCUGCGUUGUGUGCAAUGACCCUGAAAACACCGGGAGUAUUGAUUUGGAGGUUACAAACAUGACAGAUUAAUUUCAGGCAGUAGGCAGAUUUACAAGUACAGAAGCAACUAAUAAUGGGGCGUGAAUGUCCUUGUAUUAAUCCCCUUUGCAAGUCAGGAAAAGGACAGUCAAGGAGCUUCAGCAAUUUCAUUGCCUCAACCUCGUUCAGUGAGAACAGACUAUGAUUCACGUGUUUCUCUAGCACAGGGAUUCUCAACCCAUGCUGUUGAUAUUUGGAGCCAGAGAAUUCUCCGUUGUGGGGGGCCUGUCGUGUGCAUCGUAGGAUGUGGAGCAGCAUCUCUGGUCUGUACCCACCCAACACCAGCAUCAUCUCCAUCCCCCAAGUCACGAUAACCAAAAAUGUUCCCAGACACCACCAAAUGUCCCUUAGGGGCAGAAUCCCUGCCCUACUGUGAGAACCACUGGUCUAGGGACUU
Mustela erminea (ermine) is the source of this 1380-nucleotide long non-coding RNA. RefSeq lists it as uncharacterized. The transcript is spliced from 3 exons. The record is from RefSeq and is a predicted model, not a curated record. Lineage: Eukaryota; Metazoa; Chordata; Mammalia; Carnivora; Mustelidae.